CCUACGGGGGGCAGCAGUAGGGAAUAUUGCUCAAUGGGGGAAACCCUGAAGCAGCAACGCCGCGUGGAGGAUGAAGGUUUUCGGAUUGUAAACUCCUUUUGUUAGAGAAGAUAAUGACGGUAUCUCACGAAUAAGCACCGGCUAACUCCGUGCCAGCAGCCGCGGUAAUACGGAGGGUGCAAGCGUUACUCGGAAUCACUGGGCGUAAAGAGUGCGCAGGCGGGCUUGUAAGUCAGAUGUGAAAUCCUGUGGCUUAACCACAGAACUGCAUUUGAAACUGUGAGUCUAGAGUAUGGGAGAGGUAGGUGGAAUUCUUGGUGUAGGGGUAAAAUCCGUAGAUAUCAAGAGGAAUACUCAUUGCGAAGGCGACCUGCUGGAACAUAACUGACGCUGAUGCACGAAAGCGUGGGGAGCAAACAGGAUUAGAUACCCGAGUAGUC
Molecule: ribosomal RNA, 440 nt
Filed under: uncultured bacterium
Lineage: Bacteria
Description: partial 16S ribosomal RNA
Rfam family: Bacterial small subunit ribosomal RNA
Source: RNAcentral